This 682-nucleotide long non-coding RNA is filed under the name Citrus sinensis (sweet orange). RNAcentral's name for it is "long non-coding RNA (CSIN_LNC003182)". Lineage: Eukaryota; Viridiplantae; Streptophyta; Magnoliopsida; Sapindales; Rutaceae. The record is from RNAcentral.
UACUAUCAGAUCUUCAUUUAAACUCUCCGACAUUUUUCUGCUUGAUCGCCAAGAAAUGACAGCAGCAUUACAAACUGUGUUAAUUUUGUUAUCAUUUCAGGCCUGGUAAUGUCACUAAUCGGAUCUUUACUCACAAUGCUCGUGGUAAGUUAUCAUUUCCCAUUUCAGUCAUUCAACUUCGUCUACUAGUACUAAUUCGAAGACUUGACUAAACAUAAUGCUAACACCAAUAAUUUAUAUACAUAUGUGCAGACCUUGAUACUUCCUUGCCUUUGUUUUCUGAGCAUCCUAAGGGGCAAAGCAACCCGGUUACAAGUAUGAACAUUAGACAAAAAUUUCUAUGUCAUGUGAGAUAAUACGCAUACAAACACUUGAUGCUUACAGUUACUACUUUUUGCUGUAGGUUGCUCUUUGUGUUAUAAUCAUUGUGGCAGGGGUUGUAUCGUCAGCGAUUGGAUCUUAUUCGGCCAUUUUAAAAAUUGUUGAGAGUUUGAGCAGCUGAUGAUAAUAAUCACAUUUUGGGAAAUUUUGCAGCUGAUGAUAAUAAUCACAUUUUGGGAAAUUUUGUCAACAAUAUUGAGAAUGUUACAUUCUUCUGUAGAAUAGAUUGUGAGGGGGUAAAAGAAUCAUUUAUGUCGUCAGUUUUAAACUUUGAUUCAAUUUUGGAUUUUUUCAUCCCCAC